Molecule: non-coding RNA, 72 nt
Organism: Caerostris darwini
Lineage: Eukaryota; Metazoa; Arthropoda; Arachnida; Araneae; Araneidae
Source: the annotation of a GenBank genome assembly
CACCGAAGUCAAGCAGCACUGGGCGCGGUCAGUACUUGGGUGGGUGACCACUUGGGAACUCCGCGUGCCGUU